AAAUUAUCGGAGGAUUUGACCUGAAUUCAUAAUU
The submitters of this non-coding RNA (34 nucleotides) gave its source as unclassified sequences. The record is from Rfam.